RNAcentral lists this ribosomal RNA (498 nucleotides) under uncultured bacterium. RNAcentral's name for it is "partial 16S ribosomal RNA". It matches the Rfam family "Bacterial small subunit ribosomal RNA", at positions 28 to 507 of the family's 1533-position model. The record is from RNAcentral.
GACGAACGCUGGCGGCGUGCCUAAUACAUGCGAGUCGAGCGGACGAAUCGAAAGCUUGCUUUUGAUUCGUUAGCGGCGGACGGGUGAGUAACACGUGGGCAACCUGCCCUGUAGACGGGGAUAACACCGAGAAAUCGGUGCUAAUACCGGAUAACACGAAAUGUCGCAUGACGUUUCGUUGAAAGACGGCGCAAGCUGUCGCUACAGGAUGGGCCCGCGGCGCAUUAGCUAGUUGGUGAGGUAACGGCUCACCAAGGCGACGAUGCGUAGCCGACCUGAGAGGGUGAUCGGCCACACUGGGACUGAGACACGGCCCAGACUCCUACGGGAGGCAGCAGUAGGGAAUCUUCCGCAAUGGACGAGAGUCUGACGGAGCAACGCCGCGUGAGCGAAGAAGGCCUUCGGGUCGUAAAGCUCUGUUGUUAGGGAAGAACAAGUAACGCAGUAACUGGCGUUACCGUGACGGUACCUAACGAGAAAGCCACGGCUAACUACGUG